AAGGAGUAGACUAACUACCCAUAGUAUUCCGGUUUAUCCGGAUUAAAGAUUUAUCGCUUCGGGAGGGGCCUGCGUCUGAUUAGCUAGUUGGUGAGGUAAAAGCUCACCAAGGCGGCGAUCAGUAGCUGGUUCGAGAGGAUGACCAGCCACACUGGGACUGAGAUACGGCCCAGACUCCUACGGGAGGCAGCAGUGAGGAAUCUUCCACAAUGGGCGCAAGCCUGAUGGAGCAAUACCGCGUGCAGGAAGACGCUUUUCGGAGUGUAAACUGCUUUUGUCGUCGAAGAUUAUGACUGUAGACGAAGAAUAAGGACCGGCUAACUACGUG
RNAcentral lists this ribosomal RNA (328 nucleotides) under uncultured bacterium. RNAcentral describes it as "bacterial SSU rRNA". It matches the Rfam family "Bacterial small subunit ribosomal RNA", at positions 153 to 507 of the family's 1533-position model. The record is from RNAcentral.